GGAUGCCUUGGCACUAAGAGCCGAUGAAAGACGUGAUAAGCUGCGAAAAGCUUCGGGGAGGAGCAAAUAUCCAAUGAUCCGGAGAUAUCUGAAUGGGGAAACCCGGCUGGACAGACUCCAGUCAUCCAUACGCCAAUCCAUAACGUAUGGAAGGGAACCCGGUGAACUGAAACAUCUAAGUAGCCGGAGGAAGAGAAAACAACAUGUGAUUCUGGAAGUAGCGGCGAGCGAAACCGGAAGAGCCCAAACCAGCGUGCGUGCAUGCUGGGGUUCGGACCGCAUAAUUGAUUGAUGAGUCUAGCAGAAUGGUUUUGGGAAAGCCAGCCAGAGAGGGUGAAAGCCCCGUAAGCGAAAGACGAGUCAGCAAGGCGGGAUCCAGAGUACCACGAGACACGAGAAACCUUGUGGGAAUGAGCGGGGACCACCCCGUAAGGCUAAAUACUCCUUAGUGACCGAUAGCGCAUAGUACUGUGAAGGAAAGGUGAAAAGGACCCCGGGAGGGGAGUGAAAGAGAACCUGAAACCCUGUGUUUACAAGCUGUGGAACAUCUAUAUAUGAUGAACCGCGUACUUUUUGUAGAACGGUCCGGCGAGUUACGCCAUCUGGCGAGGUUAAGUUCUUAAGGAAUGGAGCCGAAGUGAAAACAAGUCUUAAUAGGGCGUUAAGUCAGAUGGAGUAGACCCGAAACCGGGUGAUCUAUCCAUGUCCAGGAUGAAGUUGCCGUAAAAGGCAAUGGAGGUCCGAACCCACAUCCGUUGAAAAGGGUGGGGAUGAGGUGUGGAUAGGGGAGAAAUUCCAAUCGAACCCGGAGAUAGCUGGUUCUCCUCGAAAUAGCUUUAGGGCUAGCCUCAUGAGAGUCUUUUGGAGGUAGAGCACUGAAUUCCCGCGGGGGCGUCAAAGCUUACCAAAGGAUAUCAAACUCCGAAUGCCAGUAAGAUGAUUCAUGGGAGUCAGACUGCACGAGAUAAGUUGGGCAGUCAAAAGGGAAAGAGCCCAGACCUGCAGCUAAGGUCCCAAAAUGUGUGUUAAGUGGAAAAGGAUGUGGGAUUUCAAAGACAACCAGGAUGUUGGCUUAGAAGCAGCCAUACAUUAAAAGAGUGCGUAAUAGCUCACUGGUCGAGAGGUCCUGCGCCGAAAAUGUCCGGGGCUGAAACACACUACCGAAGCUCAGGAAUUAACGUAGUUAAUUGGUAGAGGAGCAUUCUUAAAGGGAAGAAGCAGUACCGGAAGGAGCUGUGGACUUUUAAGAAGAGAGAAUGCCGGAAUGAGUAGCGAGAGGAAGGUGAGAAUCCUUCCGGCCGAAUAUCUAAGGUUUCCAGAGUAAAGCUGAUCUGCUCUGGGUAAGUCGGGGCCUAAGGUGAGGUCGAAAGACGUAGCCGAUGGACAACAGGUUGAAAUUCCUGUACUGCAGUAUAACAGAACUGUGGGGACGCAGAGGGAGAGCACUAGCGGGAAUGGAAUCCCGCGGCAAGCGAGGUAGGAGUCGCGCUGGCAAAUCCGCGUGACAAUCCGAAGACGUGAUGCAUACCGAACUGAAGUAGGGAAAUGUGUGAGCCAGCUGCCAAGAAAAGCCGCUAUUGUUUGUACUGUACCCGUACCGUAAACCGACACAGGUAGGUGAGGAGAGAAUCCUAAGGCCGACGGGAGAAGCAUUGUUAAGGAACUCGGCAAAAUGACCCCGUAACUUCGGGAGAAGGGGUGCCUCGAAAGAGGCCGCAGAGAAUUGGCCCAAGCAACUGUUUAGCAAAAACACAGGUCUAUGCAAAACCGUAAGGUGAAGUAUAUGGGCUGACGCCUGCCCGGUGCUGGAAGGUUAAGGGGAGAGGUUAGCGCAAGCGAAGCUUUGAACUUAAGCCCCAGUAAACGGCGGCCGUAACAAUAACGGUCCUAAGGUAGCGAAAUUCCUUGUCGGGU
Molecule: ribosomal RNA, 1914 nt
Filed under: human gut metagenome
Description: bacterial LSU rRNA
Rfam family: Bacterial large subunit ribosomal RNA
Source: RNAcentral